Molecule: non-coding RNA, 3924 nt
Organism: Myodes glareolus (Bank vole)
Lineage: Eukaryota; Metazoa; Chordata; Mammalia; Rodentia; Cricetidae
Source: RefSeq, a predicted model, not a curated record
CUAAGAUCAUGUCCUUAACACACCAUCCAAUAGACAUAACAAACAGACUUCAGAAUGGCUGCCAAGGUACUUAGGCCACCGGAAAUACUCGGUUCAUCCAACAAUUCAGCUUUUUACUGGAAAGGAGCAAAGUGAUUCUUGGAAGGGGGAAAAGGCAACUGCUUGCAGUUUUCCACCCUCACCAAGUAGACUAUUCACAUGUGUGUAAGUAACUCAGAAGAAAGACAGCAGUUUUGCACUGGAGAUCCCACUUUCUCCAGGGUUGGGAAUUCACUGUGUCUGGAGCGAUGUAAAGGAAUGAGCAGCAGCAGCAGCAGCAGCGACAGCAGCAGCAGCGGCAGCAGCAGCAGCGACAGCAGCAGCAGCGACAGCAGCAGCAGCGACAGCCAGAGUGCUCAUUGCUUUCUGAACGAGGAAAGGGAAAGCAGGAACUUGACCACUGUUUCAACAUGCUCUGAACGCCAAAGAUAGAAAACUGAACAAAAGGAACUUGGUCACUAUUCAGCUUCCUGUUGUCUUGAUCUCCCCAUCUGUGAAACACUACUCAAUUAAUUAACUAUUGAUGGCGACAUCUAGCACCAAAGACCUGUGACUUUACAACUGUUACAAGGACAUAGCAAAUGCAUAUAGCAGGUCGUGUUGUGCUUGGUGCUUCACCAAUACAUCAGUUCUACCAGGCUCGCCGUGAGCACACGUGUCACGAUUUGCCACUGCCAUGCUGGACACAUCUCAUCAUUCUCAGUACCUCCACAGUGUCAGAUGCAUACUUUCCUGUAUUUGUCAUAAGCUAUGAUCUAUCCUGACUCCAACCGUUAGCACAGACUCAAGCAACUAAUAGCUAAUGGAUGACCACUUAUAGAGUGACCAGCAAUCAGAUUCACUUGCUAACUGGCCAAGUGCCCAAAGACCUCAUAGAAUAUGGACACAGAGAAAGCUUCGAAACGUGGGUGCCAGUGUUGAGCAUGAAGAGCAAGAAAUACGGGCCGGAGCAGCCUUGUCUGUCAAAGCUGUUUGUCAAAGGUAUGCUGUUGGCAGAGAUGCUGGGAGAGUUUGGGUAAAGCUACUGCUCUGAGGGAAGAAGCUCAGGAUCUGACGGUCUCUGAGGAGAAACUAGGACAAGGCAUUUCUUUCCCUGGGACGCUGGAGUUGGAUGGGAUGAACUGCUCUGAGGCAGGCAUAGGCAGCCACUCGACCCAGCUGCAUUGUAUGUUGCACAGGAGGGACCCCAACAUUCUCUACCUCACACCGCCCCAUCAGACAGUGUUUAGGAAAGCUUUGCCUUCCAUGGAUCUCAUAGGGCUGGCAGAGGAGACCAAGUGGUCGCCAUGAUUGUCCAUGGAAUUCCCUUUGGGACCACAGUAAAGUUGACACUGUUGGCAUCAUUUGUCAUACUGGACAAUAUUUCCUGUGGAAUAAAUUCUCUCUCUCUCUCUCUCUCUCUCUCUCUCUCUCUCUCUCUCGAUACCAGAGAUCCCCUUCUUCCCUAAAAAGUCCUUGGAGCAGAGCCAAGACUCUGACAAACAUAUUGGCAUAUCUCCAAUAGGAGAUGGAGGUGCCUUUCUUAGUGUGUAAUAAUCGUUCGGACUAAAGAGUUUCUUUGUGCUGUUUUCAUCCAUGCAUACAACACGCUUUGGUCAAAUUCACUUCCUCCUACGUCUCAGUUACCAGCCCCCUUCAUCAUCCUGAUUCCCUUUUUCUCCCCUCACAGACCCCUCUAUCUCUGUCUUUUACCAAUAGAGUUUUGUUUGUUUUUGUUUUCUUCACAAGUUUAUCUGGGGGAUUCACAGACACUGCUAACUCACCACAUCCGUGUUUGAAGUUGCCAUCUCUGCCACUCUCUGUCAUGAGUCAUAAUCUCAUUCCACAAGCAGGUACAGACCUGGAGACCGGUUAAUGCAAAGCUGAGCUCCUAGGCACUUAGCGCGGGAAUCUAACCAAGACGAUGACCAGGAGUUUGGAAAGUCACAGGGAGAAGAGUCUGAAUCCUGUUCCACUACCUCUCUUAGAUGGCCAAAGCUCACCUGCCUAGGGCUGGUACCGCAUGCAGUGGGCUGGACUCUCCUACACCAAUUAGCAACCACGGACCAAUUUGAGCUGAGCAAUUCCUCAGCUGAGGUUCCCUCUUCCGUGAUUUGUCAACAACCAAGACUAACCAUGGCAAUGUGUAUCUGGUGUGCGCAUACGUGUGUGCAGGUGCACUGACACGAGGAUGUCCAGUGUCUUCUCUGUCACUCUACACUGAUUCCUUUGAGAUCUGGUCUCUGCGGAACCUGGGGCCAGGCUGGAGAUGUCCUGCUUACUUCAGCUCCAAGGCUAGGGUUCCAGAUGAGCACACCACCGUGUGAAUACUGGGAUCUGAACUCAUGACCUCAUGCUGGUGCAGCAGGCGCUCUCACCGACUGGGCCACCUCCUCAGCAUCUCCUCCUAGCCCUGAACUAGUCACAUGAUCUUUUUUCAGGUUUCUGUGCUGAUAAGACAUUUCUAGAGCUGGUAACAGACAGCUUCAAACUAUUAGUAGAAGGAUUUGGGAGUGAAUGCUACUGAUGCCACCAUCUAACUUCUUAUUUUCUUUACAUUUUUUUGAACCAUGAUUUUUUUUCACACCUUACAGUUUGACACUAAUCACCUGAAAUCAGUCCCUUGUUUUUCACCCUUGCAUUUUCCUGCCUUGAGCUUUUCAGUGAUAUACAAAUAUUGCUUGUGUCUUUGAUGGACAUUAGUUUCCUUAGAGAGAUCUUGUUUGUGUAGAUCUAUCUUUGUAAAACAUAGUUUUGCAUUUUAUAAAGUAGAAAUUUAUACCAAUCAAAAAGUUUUGAUCAAACUAGGGCUCUUGGGAGCUCUUGCUAUUUAACACAAUUGAUGGUCACAUAUGACAUAAAUUUCUUUUGCUUCUUCAGCCACUAGCAUCUCUAUUGCUUCUUAGAAAUUCACUCAUGCCGAAUGCAGUCCACAAGAUCAGAGAGCCACUGGGAAUAGCGUGUCACUGAACCCACAGUGCCUGCGAAGGAAAGUGGAUGUUUGACUUAUGGAUGGUUAACCAGAGCAAGCCUGCAGGAACUACUGAGUUGAUGUUCCUGUUUCUGUGUCAGGGAAUUUAGAGUUGGUGAAGUCUGUCCUCUGCCUAAGAAUGCCAUUUUGAAAACUGAGAAGAUGAGAGAUGGAGGGAGAAACAGACACUAUGAUACUGACGCCAUUGCCUGAUCCAUAGACCUUACUGGGUCCUGUGGCUGUAUAAAUGUUUAUGCUACACAAAAAUAAAGUUGAUGAAUUACUAAAUUUAUUACAGUAUUUACCCUAUUGCUUAAAGAGCACAUUGGCCAUAUUAAUGUCUUAUUAUCUCAUGUCUGUGAGUAGAUUUUAAAAUUUAUUUUUUGUAAUUUGUAUGACUGUCUUGUUUGCCUGUGUCUAUACAAUGCAUUCAUGACUGGUGCCUCUGAAGACCAGGAGAGAGCAGAACAAGGCAUCAGGUCCCCUGGAACUGGACUUACAGAUGGUUAUGGGUCACUAUGUGAGUGCCAGGAAUCAAACCUUGGUCCUCUGGAAGAGUGUUCAGUGCUCUUAACUGUUGAGCCAGCUCUCCAACUUCUUCCGGCCCUAGAAGAUGCUCAGUGCCUUGGAUCACAAUGCCCCAUUAAAUGGCAAUAAUGGAUGUUUAAUAAAUACUUCUGUGAGAAUCUAAAAUCUAUCCUUGAAAUAAUACAACUAGAUAUUCAUAUAUUAGUAAUAUAAUGAUUUUAUAUUACUAAACAAGAGGUUAAAUUUUUUAAAACUGAAAAGAACAUUUAUUUUGUAUUCUAUAUAUGGAAAUAUUAAUACAACACAAGUCCAGGUUUUAUGAUGAUCAACUCUUAAUAUUUAUAAACAAGAAAUUGGAAACUCGUUGAUUUAAAAAUAUCUAAAAAAGACUUUACACCUGCUGUGGG